GUGGGGUAUCUUAGACAAUGGGGGAAACCCUGAUCUAGCCAUGCCGCGUGAGCGAUGAAGGCCUUAGGGUUGUAAAGCUCUUUCAGCUGGGAAGAUAAUGACGGUACCAGCAGAAGAAGCCCCGGCUAACUCCGUGCCAGCAGCCGCGGUAAUACGGAGGGGGCUAGCGUUGUUCGGAAUUACUGGGCGUAAAGCGCGCGUAGGCGGACCAGAAAGUUGGAGGUGAAAUCCCAGGGCUCAACCUUGGAACUGCCUUCAAAACUCCUGGUCUGGAGUUCGAGAGAGGUGAGUGGAAUUCCGAGUGUAGAGGUGAAAUUCGUAGAUAUUCGGAGGAACACCAGUGGCGAAGGCGGCUCACUGGCUCGAUACUGACGCUGAGGUGCGAAAGCGUGGGGAGCAAACAGGAUUAGAAACCCGGGUAGUCC
RNAcentral lists this ribosomal RNA (425 nucleotides) under uncultured bacterium. RNAcentral describes it as "partial 16S ribosomal RNA". It matches the Rfam family "Bacterial small subunit ribosomal RNA", at positions 354 to 796 of the family's 1533-position model. The record is from RNAcentral.